AGUGAACGCUGGCGGUAGGCCUAACACAUGCAAGUCGAACGGCAGCACCGUAAGAGCUUGCUCUUACGGGUGGCGAGUGGCGGACGGGUGAGGAAUACAUCGGAAUCUACUUUUUCGUGGGGGAUAACGUAGGGAAACUUACGCUAAUACCGCAUACGACCUACGGGUGAAAGCAGGGGAUCUUCGGACCUUGCGCGAUUGAAUGAGCCGAUGUCGGAUUAGCUAGUUGGCGGGGUACAGGCCCACCAAGGCGACGAUCCGUAGCUGGUCUGAGAGGAUGAUCAGCCACACUGGAACUGAGACACGGUCCAGGCUCCUACGGGAGGCAGCAGUGGGGAAUAUUGGACAAUGGGCGCAAGCCUGGUCCAGCCAUACCGCGUGGGUGAAGAAGGCCUUCGGGUUGUAAAGCCCUUUUGUUGGGAAAGAAAAGCAGCAGGUUAAUACCCCGCUGCUCUGACGGUACCCAAAGAAUAAGCACCGGCUAACUUCGUG
This 492-nucleotide ribosomal RNA is filed under the name uncultured bacterium. RNAcentral's name for it is "partial 16S ribosomal RNA". It matches the Rfam family "Bacterial small subunit ribosomal RNA", at positions 29 to 507 of the family's 1533-position model. The record is from RNAcentral.